This 500-nucleotide long non-coding RNA is filed under the name Nicotiana tabacum (common tobacco). RNAcentral describes it as "long non-coding RNA (NTAB_LNC008411)". The record is from RNAcentral. Lineage: Eukaryota; Viridiplantae; Streptophyta; Magnoliopsida; Solanales; Solanaceae.
AGAGAUUCCAAUGUGGUUCGGUUUCUUUUCUGAGCUUCAAAUCUUAAUUCUUGAUAACAACGGUUUCACUGCUAUACCUCCUGCUUCUAUUUCUAACCUGUCCAAGUUAGAAACUCUCAGUGUCAGUAAUAAUCAUCUUCAAGGCAGUUUUCCCAAAGAUAUUGGCAAUCUUCAGAGUUUAAAGGAGCUGGUUUUAGUCAGUAACCAACUUACUGGAUCUAUUCCAUACUCCAUUUUCAACAUCUCCUCGUUGGAGACUUUAGCUCUCACAUAUAAUCAAUUAUCAGGGAGUCUUCCUGCAGAUAUAUGCCGCGGUCUGCAAAAAAUAAAGAGCAUUUCAAUAAUUUCCAACCAGUUGAGUGGUCACAUUCCAGCUAGUUUGUCUAACUGCACACAACUGUAUGACUUGUCAUUGUCAUACAAUAACUUCAAUGGGAUCAUUCCACCAGAAAUUGUAAACUUGGAGAGGCUUGAGUUCUUAAACCUUGGGGGAAACCACC